CUGCCUGUAGGCUUGAUGUCUUUCCCCUACAACACGCCUUGCUUGCCAGGCUGGAAGAGGGGCUCCAGAAACUCGGGAAACCUGGGCCUGUAGCUGGCAUGUGGAAAAAAGGCCUGGAAAAGCACCAUUCCUGUCCAUGAAGCCCCCAGAUGGAACCAGGUCCUGUUCAGAAACCCCAUCUGUGCCUUUGGAGGGACUGCCCUGAGCACAGAGGCCCACAUCUACGGCCCCCAGGACCUAAUCCCCUUCUACAUAGGGGUUCAGUGCAUGUCACAGGCCCAGCAAUCACAUCUGCAGCCCCCAGGACCUAAUCCCGUUCUACAUAGGGUUCAGUGCAUGUUAGCAAACACUGGGCUCGAUUCUUGCCUAGUCCCUGCCAGAUAUCCCAUGCCCACCUCAUUAAGAGAAUGAGGCCACACAAACACACCCAGGCCAUCGUGGUGAUGGAGUGGCUGGGGUCCCACUUGCCCAUCCUUCAUUGCUGGUUCAGAGCCAGCUGUCUGACCACAUUCCUACUCCAAGAUGGGACUUUGGGGACAUUGUCCACCAGGGUCGCUGACCCCUUUUAAAGUUCCAGAAACAUGGCCAGCUGGUCCCCUAGAAGUUUGGUACAUGGGAUAAGCCAAGGCUUGUCUUCAGGAACAGGUUUUCCACCACGUCGCUGCCCAAGGCCCAGGGCAUCCCCAAGUUCACGUGAAGCCUGCCUGCCAUGUCCACAGCCCAUGCCGAGCCCUCCUGGAGCCACUGGAAUGCUUGUUCCUGGGCAUGUGAUGAACCCAGACAGCUUCCGCCUUGCAGGACAACUGUGUGCAUCUGGCAGCAGUAGCCAGAGGGCCCAUGGAAGAUGGAGGUGAAACCAGAUGCUGUGAGAACACUAUUAGUCAAAACUGCAUACUAUAGAAAUGCUUUAAAAUGCAGCAGGAGAUGUGAAGACACAAAUGAACAAGCGCAUAGUGACACAUGGCUGUCAGAACACAGGAAAGAAUCCACACUGCCUCCCCCCUUUACCUAGAAAAGGAGAGUUCUAGGCCACCUCCUCCUCAGCACACUCCUCAUCCUCCUCCUCCUCCGCCGUGGCAUCCUGAUAUUGCUGAUAUUCAGGCACCAGGUCGUUCACGUUGCUCUCGGCCUCGGUGAAUUCCAUCUCAUCCAUGCCCUCGCCCGUGUACCAGUGGAGGAAGGCCUUGCGCCUGAACAUUGCUGUAAACUGCUCUGAGACACAUGUGAAGAGUUCCUGGAUGGCCGUAUUAUUCCCAAUGAAG
RNAcentral lists this long non-coding RNA (1262 nucleotides) under Pan troglodytes (chimpanzee). Its description in RNAcentral is "lincRNA". Lineage: Eukaryota; Metazoa; Chordata; Mammalia; Primates; Hominidae. The record is from RNAcentral.